GACGUAGGUGACCAGCGUUGUCCGGAUUUACUGGGCGUAAAGAGCGCGCAGGCGGUCCAAUAAGUCGAGUGUGAAAGCCCCCGGCUCAACUGGGGAGGGUCAUUCGAUACUGAUGGACUUGAAGGCAGGAGAGGGAAGCGGAAUUCCCGGUGUAGUGGUGAAAUGCGUAGAUAUCGGGAGGAACACCAGUGGCGAAGGCGGCUUCCUGGCCUGUUCUUGACGCUGAGGCGCGAAAGCUAGGGGAGCAAACGGG
Molecule: ribosomal RNA, 253 nt
Filed under: uncultured Acidobacteriota bacterium
Lineage: Bacteria; Pseudomonadati; Acidobacteriota
Description: uncultured Acidobacteria bacterium partial 16S ribosomal RNA
Rfam family: Bacterial small subunit ribosomal RNA
Source: RNAcentral